UACAGAGGUCUCAAGCGUUGUUCGGAAUCACUGGGCGUAAAGGGUGCGUAGGCCGCACGGUAAGUCAGAGGUGAAAUCCCGGAGCUCAACUCCGGAAUUGCCUCCGAUACUGCCGUGCUUGAGGACUGGAGAGGAGAUUGGAAUUCACAGUGGAGCAGUGAAAUGCGCAGAUAUCGGGAGGAACACCCGUAGCGAAGGCGGCACUCUGGGCCGGAACUGACGCUGAGGAGCGAAAGCGUGGGGAGCAAACAGG
Molecule: ribosomal RNA, 253 nt
Filed under: uncultured bacterium
Lineage: Bacteria
Description: partial 16S ribosomal RNA
Rfam family: Bacterial small subunit ribosomal RNA
Source: RNAcentral